GAUUUCCAUUUAGUUGCAACUACCAAACUUGUAGUCCAGUCCGUAUUGUAAAUCUUUCGGCUUUUCGGGCAGAAAUCAUGGAAUAAACUUUAUUUUGGAGGUUUCGACAUGAUCUAGGCCUGGAUGAUGCUCCGAUAGUCUAUUGAAAGUCUAAUGCCAAAGUAGAAAUUGGCGUGCAGUCCUGAGAAAAGAAAAGCAGAAAAGAGGCUUCGGAUUUAACAUGUGUCAGCAAUAAGGCCCUAGGAUUCCAAUAAGUUGAAUUUCUUUGUACAAAACUAUUAAAGAGAAGAUUCAAGAAAAACUCUGUAUUUGCAAUACCAGAGGAAGUGUUACAUUUACCAUAUCUCCAGAAUUGCAACUUUGUGUUUGUAAUCUCGACAAUUUAUGUGCAACAUUUUGUUGAAAGAAUCCUCAGUAUUUGUUGUGGUGAACAAAAUAAAUAUUGGCUGU
Long non-coding RNA from Patella vulgata (common limpet), 450 nucleotides. RefSeq lists it as uncharacterized. Lineage: Eukaryota; Metazoa; Mollusca; Gastropoda; Patellidae. The transcript has 4 exons. The record is from RefSeq and is a predicted model, not a curated record.